Molecule: non-coding RNA, 1117 nt
Organism: Misgurnus anguillicaudatus (oriental weatherfish)
Lineage: Eukaryota; Metazoa; Chordata; Actinopteri; Cypriniformes; Cobitidae
Source: RefSeq, a predicted model, not a curated record
CCGGACACGUGAUGUGACGCCUUGCCGCGAAUUUCAACCAGACCAAACAGUCGUUUAGGCGCGCAAGGGGAACUUUAAAGCUCCCUUUAAGGGCUUUAUACGUUUUUAUUUAUAAAACAAGUGGUGCAGAAAAUACCUCAAUAUUUAAUACAAACUAUGGCUACUCCUCCCAAGAGAUGUUGUAGAAGUUUCGACGCUGACCUCAGCUUCGAAAAAAGAGCAUUGAAAAUCUCAAUAGAGGGAAACAUAGCUGCUGGCAAGUCAACGUUUGUGCGCGUGUUGGAGCGUACGUCAGAAGAGUGGGAGGUCAUACCAGAACCCAUAGGAAAGUGGUGCAAUGUGCAAACCACAGAGAAUGAGUACGAGGAGCUUAGCACAUCACAGAAGAGCGGAGGAAACCUGCUGCAGAUGUUAUAUGACAAGCCCAGCCGCUGGUCCUACACUUUCCAGACGUACGCCUGCCUGAGUCGUGUCCGUUCACAGCUUCAACCUCCUUCUGCCAAACUUCAGCAGGCUGAGAAACCCGUCCAGUUUUAUGAGCGUUCUGUCUACAGUGACCGGUAUGUGUUUGCGUCAAACCUCUUUGAAUCUGGAGAUCUGAACGAGACUGAAUAUGCCAUCUACCAAGACUGGCAUUCGUGGCUCCUCGGUCAGUUUGAGGCUCAGCUUGAGCUAGAUGCCAUGAUCUACCUUCGUGCGGAUCCAGAGAGAUGUAUGCAGCGUCUUCUGUUCAGAGGGCGAGAUGAGGAACAGGGGAUUCCACUUGAGUAUCUUGAGAAGCUGCAUUAUAAGCAUGAGUGUUGGCUGUUCAACCGGACCACAAAGUUAGGUUGACUUUGAGUAUCUUAAAGACAUUCCAAUAUUGGUCCUGGAUGUUAAUGAGGACUUUAAAAAUGACAGAAUUAAACAAGAAGGAGUAAUGGAUCAGGUGAAGAAGUUCCUGAACACGCUGUAGCCUCCAAUCCAACUGCUUGAAUCACGUAUACUGGUGAUUUAUCACUAGUAUUCUGGAUCAGUGCCUGUUACUACUUGAAUGAUUUUUUAUCUGCUUUUUGUUGAGCUUAUUGUACAUAUGUAAUUGUGUUUUUAUUAAAACCAGAUUUUUAACAUUUUACAA